Molecule: ribosomal RNA, 482 nt
Filed under: uncultured bacterium
Lineage: Bacteria
Description: bacterial SSU rRNA
Rfam family: Bacterial small subunit ribosomal RNA
Source: RNAcentral
GACACGCUGGCGGCGUUGCUUAACACAUGCAAGUCGAACGGAGUACCCUUGAUUGAGGCUUCGGCCAAUUUCUUGGACUACUUAGUGGCGGACGGGUGAGUAACGCGUGAGUAACCUGCCGUUCAGAGGGGGACAACAGUUGGAAACGACUGCUAAUACCGCAUAACGUAUAGAUAAGGCAUCUUAACUGUACCAAAGGAGCAAUCCGCUGAAUGAUGGACUCGCGUCCGAUUAGAUAGUUGGUGAGGUUAACGGCUCACCAAGUCGACGAUCGGUAGCCGGACUGAGAGGUUGAACGGCCACAUUGGGACUGAGACACGGCCCAGACUCCUACGGGAGGCAGCAGUGGGGGAUAUUGCACAAUGGGCGAAAGCCUGAUGCAGCAACGCCGCGUGAGGGAAGAAGGUCUUCGGAUUGUAAACCUUGUUUUUAGUGACGAACAAAUGACGGUAGCUAAAGAGGAAGCCACGGCUAACUACGUG